CUCUCUAUUUUGCAACUGCCGGUCGCCGGGCGGUUGCGCGAGCCGUUGUGGCGUGUUUGUCUAAUCGUGUGGUUUUGUGUUUGGUGUAACGAAAUGUGACUUAGUUCGCGAACACAGAAGUGCCAGAAGAUAGCUUGUGUCUCUCUGAAACUCGCCAUAUGCGUGGCGUGCCAGGCAAAUGGGGAUCAACGAUUUUCAUGCCCUGGAGUGCGUUCUCUUUUGUGUCUGGUUGCGGGAAGUUCGCUGGACGUCGCAAAGAAAUAAUGUGUAUUAUUAGCGUGCCUCAGCUCGUCCACUACGUAACGGCGUGUAGACUGGGAGUCGACGCAGCACCGGCAACUUGGAGAGCGCUUUUCGACCGCGUCGUACCAUUCAAAAGUGGCGAGGCCGUAACCCACACCAGUGUCCACAUAAUGGAGGAGCCAGCAGAAAUGCAGGGAAACCUUGAAUGACUGCCAUAGCGCAGUGUGUAAUCUGAUUGCUUGGUUCAGGUACACCUAGCAAAUGUAUACAUUGACGAGGAGUGGCACCUGCUCUAGUGCCAUGGCUAGGACUCCCUGUUCUGCAAAGAACUGGCGAAACUGGUGUGCGGAGUUCUGGCACUCAGGAUAGGAGCAUCACAGGGGCUCUUUGGUGGUGCUUCCUGAACGACCACAAUUUCAUUGAGAAGCCGGCAUUGAGCCUCCAUAAAUUGGAAGCUGUGGACAGUAUCAUCGACAUUGUUUCAAAUUUGUUUGUGUAAUGUUUGUAACAAUACAUGUAUUACAGCGAAAUGAUUAAUUUUCCAGAUGCACUUGAUGCAUAUCUUUCGAGAUGUGGUGCCCCUGAGGAGGAGAAAUCGCGGUGCUCAAAAUGGACCGUAGCCUAGCAGACAUGCUGAGAGAAAUUAAGUAAGCGUGUAAUUGCAAACAUGUGUACAUGCAGUAAACCUCAUUAAUUUGAACUUGUGGGGGCCAUGCGAAAUGUCAGGACUAAGCAAACGCAACCAAAAUGGUUUAAAAUAUAUAUUUAUGUUUCGGCUUCCCACGGGAGCCUUGUUCACAAUGAAACCAGCAGCAGAGUAGGUAAUGUUCUUAUCUGCAGCUCAAAACAUGAUUAAGGUACUUGGCAUACAUGGACAUGGAUGAUUAGAGAUUCAAGAUAAAGACGCGUAAAAUGAUUUCAUUCUUUAACAAU
Molecule: non-coding RNA, 1176 nt
Organism: Dermacentor andersoni
Lineage: Eukaryota; Metazoa; Arthropoda; Arachnida; Ixodida; Ixodidae
Source: RefSeq, a predicted model, not a curated record